Long non-coding RNA from Arachis stenosperma, 2853 nucleotides. RefSeq lists it as uncharacterized. The record is from RefSeq and is a predicted model, not a curated record. NCBI's taxonomy places the organism in Eukaryota, Viridiplantae, Streptophyta, Magnoliopsida, Fabales, Fabaceae. The transcript has 3 exons.
UCCCCACACCCAGCUGCAGCCGAAAUCCCUUUCCCCCCAAAGGAGCAGCGCACACGGUUUCUUUUUUUCUUUUCCAUGAAAGGAAUGAAACAGAAGCAGGAAAGGGAGAGAAGGGAGGAAGCAGCUCGCCGGCCAGCCGUGCCUUGCCAUUGUCGUCCCCACCUCGCCGCCGAACCUGCCACGCCUCGCCAUCAGUCACCGCCAUCACCCACAUUUUUUCCCUCAUAACCUCACCCUCAGAUUUCAUCAACCCACAUACACCGAACAAACACACACCCAUGGUGAAGAAGAGAUCGGGCAGAGAGAGGGAGAGCGCACGCGAAGAGCGCGACCCGUUGUGCCGUCGUGUGCCAUCGCCAUCGUCGAGCUACCAGGGCAACCACGGGCGAGUUUUAAAGGAGAGAGAAGCUCGAGGAGAGAGGGAGAUCGGCGGAGGGAAGGUUCUAUUCGAGCAGCCGUGCCUCCCUACCUCAGAUCCGUCAUCGUCUCCACUGCCUUUUUCCGCCACCGCCAGGCCGUGAACGCCGUUUCGGUGGUUGCGGUCGCCACUGCCUGGGUCCCUGUGGUCCAAGCCACCAUUAAUGGAGCUUUGUUUUCGCUUCUCUGGUUUGCCGAUGGAGGAGCUCAUGGGUGGAAGAAGGCCGAUUGAGGGAGAGAACGCCGUUGAGUGGGGGUAAAUGCCUCUGCCGUGCUUCUCAGUCACUGGUGGUGGAGCCGCGUCGUCGUCACCCCUGGGCCGCCAUUCUUACCGUCGCUGAUGAAACUCACCGAAAGCUGCUCGGAUGUUACCGCCACUCUAUUUGAUCCUACUGGAAGCUGUGCCGUCGCGGCUGUGGUUGUUGAAAAUUACCGUUGGAAACCCUGUCUUCUUGGGUUGAGUUCCGGUAUUUGCGCGUCGAAAUUUAGGGUUGUUGUUGAGCCACCGGAGCUUCUGGCCGGUACCAGAGCUGUUACUGGGUUGGUUCGGAAUUGCAGCUGCCUCAUUGUGUUAUUUUAAUAAGUAAUUAUAUUUCGAAAAGUUUUGUAUUAGUAUUCUGUUGUGUUUAGUUAAUGAAUCUGAGCUUUGGUAAUGUGGGUUUGAGUUCUGAUUAUUACGUGUUGCGAGUAGAGUUGUUGUGGUUGCUGAGAAAAUGGUUUGGAGCUGAGGUUGCGGCUGCCAUAGUUUCGGGCUAAGAGGAAACAACUUGUGAUGAGUUUUAGAGUUUUCGGGUUUCGACAUUUGAGAGACACGAGUUUUCCUGGAAGAAAGCAGUGGCCAGCCACCACGUGCUCCAUGUGGAGACUCGAGACUCUGCUGACCCUAUGUCGUAAGUGUAGGGCACUGUGAAAGUCCCAGAUGAGCUCGCCCCGUGAAUAUACACCAGAGAGGGUGUUGGAUAUGUAUUAUGAUUACGAUCACGAUGAUGAUCGAGAAUAACUCAAGUUGGGGAUGCGCGACAGAGGGACAGUCCAAUGGUUAGCUACCAGGACUUGUCGGGCUGGCUUUAUAACCAACAGAUGAUAUCAUCAGCCACUAGGACAGGCAUGCAUCAUAUGCAUCUAUGUGACAUUAUUUGGGUGUGCAUAUUAUACUUAGUUUGCCUUUGUGACUACUUGCGAUUAACUGCUAAUUGUUCUACUUGCAAUAACUGUUUGUUUAUGCUUGAAUCUUCCUAUUUGUGUUUGCGACUGAGACUCUGUUGGUUUGUGGUGAUUGGUUGUUGGUUGGAGUGUUUGGGCCCAGGGCCGUGGUUGAAAUGAGAUGGACCGAUGGUUGGUUUCGGUUUUGUGUUUCUGGUUUGGAAAAAUAUGAAAGGCUAUUUUGAUUCAGCAUAGAUAAACCUUUUUGAAAGGCUUUUGAGUUUCUGAGAAUUGAAUGGUUCCUCUUUCAGAAAAGAUUUCCGACUUUACUUUUAUUGUAAAUUGUUGUUUUUGAAAAGAGACAUAAGACGGUUAUUAAUCACUGGUACAGUUUAUGUUCACGUAUCCUAUUACAAUAAUUCCCAAAAACCCUCUACUGAGAUCCCUUUCGAGGAUGAUGUUCUCACCCCCUUACAUUUUCCCUUUUCAGGAUAUGGACGCAGAAGUCACGAAGAGUUUAUUUUAGUUGUUGUUGAAAUGCUCUGUAUUGCUUUAGAUUAUUAUUUAUUGUACCCUCUCCUUUAUCUUGAUAUAUUAUGUAAGAGGGAUAGGAAUUGUAUUGGAUAAUGCUUGUAAUAUUAUUUAUAUAUAUACAUAUAUAUGUAUGUACUCUUUGAGAGUUUUUGUAAGUUUUAUUGUAUGUAUGGAUGCACGUUGCUUAGCAAAAGUAUUUUUGGAUCGAUAUUUCGGUUUAAAGUUUUAAACAGGCUCAUAUUUUAGUAUUAAAUAGUAUAAGAGUCGUCGUAAUGUCUGAGCUAUCAGAGUUGCGCAGCCGAAAGCGUGAGCUUUGAUAUUUAGGGUGUUACAUUGUACAUGUUAGUGAUACUAGUGCCUUGACUCUGAAAAAAGAAUUGGUGUCUGUGCUUUCUAUUUAUAAUCUCCAAAUUGAAAACAUUUGAGGUCAGGGGUAUGAUGGUGCUAGUAAUAAUAUGAAAGUGGAAUGGAAUGGUUUUACAAGCUUUAUUUCUCAAUAAUUGCUGACAAGCAUAUUAUGUCCAUUCUUUUGCUCAUAGAUUGCAAUUAGCACUGGUGGCUGCUUCAAGGGAAGUACUUCAAAUUCAUGAGUUUUUUUCACACAAUCGAUUGCUAUUGUUAAUAUUGUUGGUGCAUCUUGCAAAUGACAUGAUCAACUACAAGAAGCUCAAGAAAUUGAAAAUGCAAAAUUGAUUGCCAAUGAUGAGUUAGAAACAGGUCAAAGUACAAAUCAAAUGGGCACUUUACAAAGAGUUGAAG